This 404-nucleotide ribosomal RNA is filed under the name Fusobacteriota bacterium. Its description in RNAcentral is "Fusobacteria bacterium partial 16S ribosomal RNA". It matches the Rfam family "Bacterial small subunit ribosomal RNA", at positions 355 to 776 of the family's 1533-position model. The record is from RNAcentral. Lineage: Bacteria; Fusobacteriati; Fusobacteriota.
UGGGGAAUAUUGAACAAUGGAGGGAACUCUGAUGCAGCGACGCCGCGUGAGUGAUGAAGGAAUUCGUUUCGUAAAACUCUGUUCUAUGGGAAGAAAAGGACUGUACCAUAGGAGAAAGCUCCGGCUAAAUACGUGCCAGCAGCCGCGGUAAUACGUAUGGAGCGAGCGUUGUCCGGAAUUAUUGGGCGUAAAGGGUGCGCAGGCGGCUUUACAAGUUGGAUGUGAAAUAUUGUGGCUCAACCACAAACGUGCAUCCAAAACUGCAAAGCUUGAGUUAAGGAGAGGUAAGUGGAAUUCCUGGUGUAGCGGUGGAAUGCGUAGAUAUCAGGAGGAAUACCGGUGGCGAAGGCGACUUACUGGACUUAAACUGACGCUCAGGCACGAAAGCGUGGGGAGCAAACAGG